Molecule: ribosomal RNA, 374 nt
Filed under: uncultured organism
Description: partial 16S ribosomal RNA
Rfam family: Bacterial small subunit ribosomal RNA
Source: RNAcentral
GGAGGGCGCAAGCGUUGUUCGGAAUUACUGGGCGUAAAGGGCAGGUAGGUGGUCUGUUAAGUCUUCUGUGAAAAUCCGGGGCUCAACCCCGCGAAAUGCAGGAGAAACUGGCAGACUUGAGACCGGUAGAGGCUAGCGGAAUUCCUGGUGUAGCGGUGGAAUGCGUAGAUAUCAGGAAGAACACCUGUGGCGAAGGCGGCUAGCUGGGCCGGUUCUGACACUGAACUGCGAAAGCGUGGGGAGCAAACAGGGAUUAGAUACCCUGGUAGUCCACGCCGUAAACGAUGGGCACUAGAUGCUGGGCAUAUAGACGUGUUCAGUGUCGUCGCUAACGCAUUAAGUGCCCCCCGCCUGGGAGUACGGUCGCAAGGCUG